RNAcentral lists this ribosomal RNA (301 nucleotides) under uncultured bacterium. Its description in RNAcentral is "partial 16S ribosomal RNA". It matches the Rfam family "Bacterial small subunit ribosomal RNA", at positions 509 to 807 of the family's 1533-position model. The record is from RNAcentral.
CAGUAGCCGCGGUAAUACGAAGGGUGCAAGCGUUAAUCGGAAUUACUGGGCGUAAAGCGUGCGUAGGCGGUUUGUUAAGUCUGUUGUGAAAUCCCCGGGCUCAACCUGGGAAUGGCAAUGGAUACUGGCAAGCUAGAGUGUGUCAGAGGAUGGUGGAAUUCCCGGUGUAGCGGUGAAAUGCGUAGAGAUCGGGGGGAACAUCAGUGGCGAAGGCGGCCAUCUGGGACAACACUGACGCUGAGGCACGAAAGCGUGGGGAGCAAACAGGAUUAGAUACCCGGGUAGUCCCUGUCUCUUAUAC